UAAGGAAUAUUGGCCAAUGGACGCAAGUCUGAACCAGCCAUGCCGCGUGAAGGAUGAAGGUCCUCUGGAUUGUAAACUUCUUUUAUCUGGGACGAAAACGGGAUUUUUAUCUCAAUUGACGGUACCAGAGGAAUAAGCACCGGCUAACUCCGUGCCAGCAGCCGCGGUAAUACGGAGGGUGCGAGCGUUAUCCGGAUUUACUGGGUUUAAAGGGUGCGUAGGUGGGCUUAUAAGUCAGUGGUGGAAUCUCCGAGCUUAACUUGGAAACUGCCGUUGAUACUAUAGGUCUUGAAUUAUCUGGAGGUAAGCGGAAUAUGUCAUGUAGCGGUGAAAUGCUUAGAUAUGACAUAGAACACCAAUUGCGAAGGCAGCUUACUACAUAUAAAUUGACGCUGAGGCACGAAAGCGUGGGGAUCAAACA
RNAcentral lists this ribosomal RNA (421 nucleotides) under uncultured bacterium. RNAcentral describes it as "bacterial SSU rRNA". It matches the Rfam family "Bacterial small subunit ribosomal RNA", at positions 355 to 774 of the family's 1533-position model. The record is from RNAcentral.